RNAcentral lists this ribosomal RNA (301 nucleotides) under uncultured bacterium. Its description in RNAcentral is "partial 16S ribosomal RNA". It matches the Rfam family "Bacterial small subunit ribosomal RNA", at positions 509 to 807 of the family's 1533-position model. The record is from RNAcentral.
CAGCAGCCGCGGGAAUACAGAGGAUGCAAGCGUUAUCCGGAAUGAUUGGGCGCAAAGCGUCUGUAGGUGGCUUUUCAAGUCCGCCGUCAAAUCCCAGGGCUCAACCCUGGACAGGCGGUGGAAACUACCAAGCUGGAGUACGGUAGGGGCAGAGGGAAUUUCCAGUGGAGCGGUGAAAUGCGUUGAGAUCGAAAAGAACACCAACAGCGAAAGCACUCUGCUGGGACGACACUGACACUAAGAGACGAAAGCUAGGGGAGCAAAUGGGAUUAGAUACCCCAGUAGUCCCUGUCUCUUAUAC